GAUGAACGCUGGCGGCGUGCUUAACACAUGCAAGUCGAACGAAGCACUUUUAUUUGAUUUCUUCGGAAUGAAGAUUCUAGUGACUGAGUGGCGGACGGGUGAGUAAAGCGUGGGUAACCUGCCUCAUACAGGGGGCUAACAGUUAGAAAUGACUGCUAAUACCGCAUAAGACCACAGUACCGCAUGGUACAGGGGUAAAAAGUCAGGUGGUAUGAGAUGGACCCGCGGCUGAUUAGGUAGUUGGUGGGGUAACGGCCUACCAAGCAGACGAUCAGUAGCCGACCUGAGAGGGGGAACGGCCACAUUGGGACUGAGACACGGCCCAAACUCCUACGGGAGGCAGCAGUAGGGAAUAUUGCACAAUGGGGGAAACCCUGAUGCAGCGACGCCGCGUGAGCGAUGAAGUAUUUCGGUAUGUAAAGCUCUAUCAGCAGGGAAGAAAAUGACGGUACCUGACUAAGAAGCACCGGCUAAAUACGUGCCAGCCGCCGCAGUAA
RNAcentral lists this ribosomal RNA (497 nucleotides) under uncultured bacterium. RNAcentral's name for it is "partial 16S ribosomal RNA". It matches the Rfam family "Bacterial small subunit ribosomal RNA", at positions 28 to 523 of the family's 1533-position model. The record is from RNAcentral.